RNAcentral lists this ribosomal RNA (253 nucleotides) under uncultured bacterium. RNAcentral describes it as "partial 16S ribosomal RNA". It matches the Rfam family "Bacterial small subunit ribosomal RNA", at positions 524 to 776 of the family's 1533-position model. The record is from RNAcentral.
UACGUAGGUGACCAGCGUUGUCCGGAUUUACUGGGCGUAAAGAGCGCGCAGGCGGUCGUUCAAGUCGAGUGUGAAAGCCCCCGGCUCAACUGGGGAGGGUCAUGCGAUACUGAUCGACUCGAAGGCAGGAGAGGGUAGUGGAAUUCCCGGUGUAGUGGUGAAAUGCGUAGAUAUCGGGAGGAACACCAGUGGCGAAGGCGACUACCUGGCCUGUUCUUGACGCUGAGGCGCGAAAGCUAGGGGAGCAAACGGG